UUUAAGGUGGGGUGGGGUGCUAGGGGCAGAAGCACCUCCUUUUUGGGAGGAGCUCCCAGCCCAGGCACAUUUGGGUGGAGGCUGCCUGACCAUCUGCUGGAGACAUUCCUCAGGGAAUCCCUGCAGCAGGCGGAGGCUGGAUGAGGUCCCUUCAAACAUGGAGAUUCUGUGAUUCUAGAAUUGGGAAAACAAGACACACACACGUGGAAUCUGUAAUUAUCGAGAGAUGCCAGGCAGCAUAUAAUUCUGCCUUAAGUGGCAUUGAAUGCAUGCAGCAGGAAUCCUCGAGGGAAGAGCGGAGGGCUUGGAAGCCCAGGGAAUACGUGGACCAGGGAUUGAACUCAUGACCUCGCACUUGCAAGGCAGGCGCUUAUGCUGCUGAGCUAAAUCCUCGGCCCUAAUACCAGAAAUCAAACUCAGGACCUUGCACUUGCCAGGCGAGCACUGCACUGCUGAGCCAUAUCCCUGGCCCUAUGCUGGACAUUUUGAAAAAGACUCUAGCCCACUGUUUGACCCCCCGAUGAUGCAAUUCUGCCUCCUUGAGCCAUGGAGGGCCUGACCUGGCCUCCUCCUGCUGCUGGCUUGGACCCUCAGCCUGAGAGGGCACAGAUAGUUGCAGCACCAUGAAGGGAGGUGGGAAGCAGAGGUGGGAGCAGGUUCUGGAGGGUGGUGGUCCAAGGUAGGCAGAGCUGGGCUUUUAGGGAUUCUGAUGGCCCUGAGGCUGCUUCUCAAUGAAGGAUAUUGAGAAGAUUUCCCCCCAGAACCUUCUUAAUCUAAGCAGUGACUGCAGUCAUGUGACAGAGGCUCAGCCUGGCAUUUGACUGACCUGCUCAAGGGUGUGGACAGCGUUCUUUUCUCUGACUGCAUCCUCUAUCUGCUCCAAUGGUUCGGUUUGGGGGAACUCAGGGAGGAGAGAGACUGAUGGUAGAGAGAAGCCAUGGCUGGCCCUUCUCCCCAACCCCGAGAUGCUGUGGACAGCACUGUAGGCCUUUCAGCUUACCUACCCUGUCCUCAGUAUGGCUUGGCUCAGCUUCCAGCCUGGGCAGGAGGACACUGUUCCAAAGCCAAGUCUCUGGCAAGGGUGUCAAGCUAAUCUGUUACCCUCGUCCUCUACCCCUAUACAAAAAAUUCACUUUUCCAAAACAGACAGGGAGCCUCUAAGGGCCAGGCCAGCCACCCUGCUCCUCUGCAGCCCAGGUUGAGCAGUUGGUUUCUUGGCCUAUAGGCCUCAGAGCCCAUGUCUGAGAGAAAUCUCUAACUCUCAGGCUGUUGGGGUCCUCUGCUCCCAAAUUCUCACAGCCCCCAUGGCCUCUCUCGCCAUCAGCACUGAGUAUCCUGUGGUCAUGAAGAUCUAUGGCCCCAGUGUCCAGUACAGAGCCUGGCAUAUAGGUGCUCAGUUUCUAAUUUUAAAACAAACCCAUGCCUCAAAACCCCUUAUUUAAUAAUGAGCUGACUGAAGCUGGGCAUGGAGGCACGUAUGUAUAAUUCCAGCACUCAGGAGGCUGAGGCAGAAUGGUCACUCUGAGCUCAAGGCCAGCCUGGGCUACAUAGUAAAUUCAAGACGGCCCUGUCUCAAACAAAACAAAACAAAGCAAAGCAAAACAGAGUUGAGUGAGUUUAGGUAAUUCUCUUUCCUUGCCUGGGCCUCAGUUUUUUUCACUGUCUAGUAGGUUUGCUGUGUCAGUUCUGCUUCAGGUCCCAGGUGGCUGGCGUAGUGUGGGCAAGAGGACUGAGUUGGGUGGAGGUUUCCAGAACUGCUCCUGGGAGAACCCUAAAUCCUGCUCAGUCUGCCUCUCUACCUUUUGCUCUGCCUCUAAAUCAGGUGCUGACCCAGUUUUGGCAACCCCAUGUUCAGCAUGGCCUCAGGCUCUAUCUCAGACCAUUGGAAACUUCUGCCCCCAUGGUGGCGAGGUGGAAGAUGGGGCCAAUCUGUGCCUUGUUUCCUGACUUCGAUCUAGGCCUGUGACAAGCCUUCACCUCAAGGUUGCCUGGUAACAGCUCUCUGCAUUCUGAUGGAAAAAUAAAUGUAGCAGCACCAGACCUAGGCCUGUGUAAAGGGCUGGGCAUCCAGGGUGCGGCAUGGGCUGGACCAGGACAGGGGCAGGCAGAGCUAACAUGGCAUUUUGCCCCAUUAUCUGGUGGGCAGCCUCAGGGCUGGCCUCAGUAAGGCCAAGUGGACUUCACUGAGAGUGGUAUGCUUGGUGGGCAGGUGAGCCAGCCCAGGGGGGCACCCAGCCUGGCAUCUGGCCCCUUUUACCCCCUUUUCUACACCUGCAGCUGGCGCCUUCCGCCCUGUGAGCCGCAGCCGGUGCCACCUCUCAUUAGGUGAUGAUUUUACAUUAAUUACCUUAAUUAAGCGGCGCUGAGUGCUAAUGGCUUGAGAGGGGGGUGGCUGUUUCUAAUUGCCCUUCUGGUCGGCCCAGAGUGAGGGGCCCAGGGUUUUCAAAAUCUCAGCAAACAGUUGAAAAAAGAAAGGAGGAACCCAGCAGGGGUAGAAAAGAUGCGUUCCAGGGCCUGGAUCACAUCUGGCCCUGACUCCCAUGAGGGGUGGAUGGCUGGAGGCACUGCCUGGGGUCAUGCUGCUGGCUUCAUGCCCUGAUCCAGGGCCUGCAGGAAGCGGUGAUGGGUGGGGAAGUGGGGUGGGAGGUGGAAGAUGGGCAAUUUGCCCUGCUUCUCAGACUCCUGCUCUGCUCCUCCCUACAACCCCUUGCUGAAAUCCCCCUUCGAGGUCUUUCAGCUGGGCAGGAUGCUCCCUUCUCCACCUGUAUGAGUCUUCAGGGCCCAAUCAAAUGUCCUCUUCUGCUUUCCUUACUCCAUAUAUCUUGGCCCCUGUAUUGCAAGGCUCCCCUCAAGGAGCUCAUGAUCUGACUGGGGAAGUGGAUGGUUAAAGACAGAUCCCACAGAAGGCAAUGAUGAAGGCCAAGAUGGAGGGUGAUGGCCCAGGUUUUAGGGAUCAGGAGAGAAUGACCAGAGAGGCGGACGCUGAGGUUGAGUCCUAAAGCAGGUGGUGUUAAGAUGACUCUUCCAGGCAGAGGGACCAGAGUGUGUAAUUGAGACUUGAGGGGAAAGAACGUUUGGCCCAUUUGGUUAGCUGAAAGCUGUUCUGUGCAAAGGGGAUGUUAAGGUUUAAGUGUCUCAGGCCCAGUGUAGCUCAAUGGCACAAGCACCUGUCUGGCAAGCACAAGGUCCUGAGUUCGAUUCAUAGUACCAAUAAAUAAAUAAAUAAAUGUUAAGUGUCUCCCGAAGACUUAUCUAUUGAGGGAUUGAUCCCCAUUGUAGCGAUGUUCAGAGAUCAGAUCUAGAGGAGUGACUGGAUCAUAAGGACCCUACCCUCAGGAGUGGAUUCAUUAUGAUGGAUUCAUAAUUUGAUGAUAUUGUUGGGGGGUGAUGGGAACAUGAGGUGGGGCCUUGGUGAAGGGAGCGGGUCCUGGGGGAAUGGCUCUGGGGGCUGUAUUUUCUCUCUGGUUCUUUCCUUCUCUCUCUGCUUCCUGGCUGACAUGAAGUGAGCAGCCUUACUUCACCAUGCUCUCUGCUAUUAUGUUUCUGCCUUACUGCAGACCUAAAAGUCAUGCAGCCAGUUAACCAUAAGCUGAAACCUCUGAGAUCAUGAGCCAAAAUAAAUCUUUCCUCCUUUAAACUGUCUUCCUAAGGUAUUUGGUCACAGAGACAAAAAGCUGACUAACACAGAGGGAAGUCACAGCAAGGGAAGAAAUGGCCAGAGAUGUGCCCAGAGGAAUGUCCCUGUCUCAGAGCCUCUGGGGAAGUAUGGGGGUGCAGGAGUGAUUUCAUCUGGGAAAAAUGAUUCCAGCAUGAGUGAAGAGGGAUAAGAGGGAGCACAUGUGGGUGGAUGACCAAUGAGGUGGCCAUUGCAUUAUUGGAGAAGGAAGAUUGGGGGCUGGAUCACAUGGUGGUUGAGGGGACAGAGGGAGAGAAGUAGGUGAAUGGGAGAGUUGAGGAGUGUCAUGGUGACAGACCUUGGGGAUGAGUGGAUGGGACUGUGAAAAGAGAGAGAAGGAAGGGUCAAGGUGACCCUAUGCUGCCCAGCUCCAGGGACGCCAUGCCCAUCUCAAUGUGGUAGGUCUACUCCAAGUUUCUGACCUGGACAGAAUGGAAUGACCAGCAGGUUUCGGGAAACAAAAGGAAGAUUUGGGUUAGUGAGGGCUGAGAAGCCUGUGAGACACCUGUGAGAACCUUAGGCUCAGGCCUGUGGCUUCCAAGAGACAGCCUUACUCCCAAGGGAGGGAUAAGAUGGUCCAGGGGGCUAGAGGCAGACCUGGCUCACCGGCAAGCAGCCAUCUCUCUGACAGUGUGGCCAGCACAGAGCUUGGCCCAGAAGAGACACUCAGGGAGAACUUGCUGAAGGAAAGGAUGACUGAAUCAUGGAGGAAUGAGGCUCCAUGGCCCUCUCAGGCCCAACCAGGUAGCCCUGUGUUUUCUCCACUCAGCUGCAGAAUCAGACACAGAGUUUGCACUGGGACUCAGGUGAUUUACCCAGCCUCCUGCCUAGCCAAAUCGAGAGUCCCCUCCUCAGGCUCUUCUGAGCCCCUGAUCAGUCCCGUGGGGGCAGAGGGUAGACUCAGCUUCUCCUCUUGCAGCCCUCUCAGGGCAUUGCCAGGUGGGAGCAGUAGGCCUCUCCUUUUCCCAGUGCUCAGCACAGGAUCCAAGCAUGUUUUAGGCCCAUGUCCCAGCCCUGGCCAUAGGUGUGCUCACUCAGUUGAUGCCCUUACACAUCCUCUCUUCUACAGCAGAUGCCUUCCUUUCUGGGAAAAGAUGUCAUAUCAGUCCCGGAUGCAGGUUACUCACCUUGAUCUCCACACCGUAGCCAGGGUAGACAGAGAUGUAGUAGAAACAGUCCAGGCCAACGUCAGAGGGUGAGCUGUAGGCUUGGGGGGAGUCCAGAAAGCCCUCGGGGCCAGAGAAAUUCCAACUACAAGGGCCUGGGAGGCAGGAAGAAACACAAGGCUAAGCCCUGUUCUGGUGACACAAGACCAGCCAAGCCUAAACCGUGUGUGUGCAUGUGUGUGUGUGUGAGUGGUGAAGCCCACUUUGUUAUUUCCCUGUUGAAAGAAGGGACACCUUUUGUUGGGCACCUACUGUGUACAAUCCUAUCUCAGUUCUCAGAAGGCUCAGAAAAUGGGCUUUCUUUUCACCACCUUACUGUUGAGGCUGAGAGAAGUUAAAUAAAAUUUCUAGGGUUGUGUUAUAUUUGGGAGAAACAGGAUUUGAACCCAGGUCUAUCUAGUCACAAACCACCUGCCUCCUGAAGGCUUUUCUUGGUGCCUAAAAGAAGGCAAGUUGGUACAGUGUCAGAGACGGGCACAUAGGGAUCCCGCAGCUCCCACUGCCCCACUUCCAGAUCCACAAGCCAGCAGGAAGCUAACCUGGUGGCUGAACUGUGGUGAUGGUAGUGGUAAUGAUGGUGGUGGUGGUCGUGGUCUCCUCAUCAUCUCCGGAAGCUGUGGAGGUGACGAUGGUGCCCUCCAUCCCGAGCCCUGUGGUCUGGGACAGGGCCUCUGGAGCCCAUGGCCUGCCCAUAUCUCCGGGACCCUCUUGGGUUGGAGUCCAGGCUCUGCUGGGGGGUGUAGUACUAGGUCUCUCCCCUGGAUAUAGGGUGGGCACUGCAAGGCUGGGCCCUGGAGGUAGGGGGGCUGUGAUAUGAAGCACAGGGAGCUCUGACCCUACGCUCCAACGUCCCUCCCUGGACUGGGGCUGGGUGGGUUCUUCGGCCAUGGCAGGAGUGGGGCUGGUAAAGACAGGGCGGCUGUCCUGGUUGGUCAAGCGGGGGAGGGGGCUUGGGGUGAAGGGUGUAGGUGGGUCAGGUUGAAAGGGUAGUGCUGGUCUCAGCCCCUCCUCUCCUGUCUCCAGCCCCUCUUGAAGGAAUUCCUCCAGCAGUGGAUGAUGGUUGAGUAGCUUCAGGGUGGGGGCUGUUGUGACGAAGUGGACACCUCGCUCUGGCUGCUCAGGGGUAGGAGCCACUGUCAGCUCCCCAUCUGUCUCCUUGAUGCCUGUGGCUUGUCCUUCCCCCAUGGUUGGAGCUUCUGAGGAGAGUCCUGAAAUAACAAUGGAGAAUCAGAUGUUCUGCUAUCCCAUAGUGAGCAGCAUCCCGCCCAGCUAAGGCAGUAGGAAAUCUAUCUACAUUUUGAUGGAGAGCCUUAGGGAGUGCGCUCAUUGUUGAGAAUCAUGGAGCUAUAAAAUUUUAGAGCUAGAAUUGAGAUGAUAUCACAUACUUCAAGGAUGGCACAUGAGCUAUUCUUUCUCCUCUAGCACCAGAGACAGACAUUAUUAAUCGAUCAUUGCAGUGUUUCCUGCUGUUCUCAGAUUCAGUUUCAGAAUCUUCAACAAAGCACUCCAGGCAGCCAUGACAUGACAAAUAUUUGCCAUCCUCAAUGCAGCCAAGGGGCUUAUUUUACUAAUGAGGAGAUAGGCCAGAAAAAGGAAGUGACUUGCUCAAAGUUACACGACCUGCUGAAGACCAAAAAUGGCAACCUCAGUAAGACUUCUAUGUGUUAGGUGCAGUAGUGCAUGCCUGUAAUUCCAGCACUCUGGGAAGCUGAGGUAGGAAGAUCACAAAUUAGAGUCUAACCUGAGCAAUAUAGUGACUUAGUGAGACCUGUCUCACCAUUAAAAAAGAAAAGAAAAGAAAUAAAAAGAGUUACAUGUAGCUGCUAUCAUUCACAACAGUGAUUUUCCUGCCUGACAUUGUGGGCAGAAUUCAAAUUUAUUUCCUGCUCUCAGUGCAAUUGCAAGUCAUUAGUCUUAGGAGGUAUUUCACAUAUUUUAAACUUUAUCUUUUUUAAAAUGUCACUUUGGGUAGAAUUCAGGACCUUCACACAGAGUUAUACCCCCAACCCUCCCAACUUUUUAAAGUUUAUUUUUUAUUUAGAGACGGUGUUUUGCUGUGUAGUCCAGUCUGGGCUGGCAUUUGCUGUGUAGCCCAGAUUGGCCUCAAGCUUGUGAUCCUCCAGCCUCAGUCUCCUGAGUACUGGGAUAACAGUUCUGUACCAUCCUAUCCAGUUUCCUUUUAGAUUUCUAAAAAGCAAAGAUGAAUUUUCCUACCAGCCUUCAGUAAUUCCAACCUUAUGCUUGUAAUCUAGACAUUCUAAGAGGCUGAGGCAAGAGGAUUGCAAAUUAGAGCCCAGCUGGACAAUUUAGCAAGACCCUCUCUGAUCCCUAAAUUUUUUUAAAGGGCUGGCUAUGUGGCUCAAUGGGUAGGCCCUGGGUUCAAUCCUCAGAACCUCAACAAUAACAAAUCAAAAUAUAUUGAUUAAGCUAAAAUUUAUUACUAGGUAAAUGCUACCACAUCCAGCUGAGCUUUUAUUUUAGAUUUCCUCAUGGAUGUAUAACUUUUUUUAUUAGGAUCACAAGAGAUCCCAUUCCUCUUUUUCUUUCUUUCUUUUUUGCUUUAGGAGGUCUUGCUAUAUAGUCCAGGCUAGCCUUAAACUUGUGGUGAUCCUCCUGCCUCAACCUCCUGAGUGCUGGGAUUACAGGUGUGCACCUCCACACCUAGUAUGAGAUCCCAUUUCUCUUCCUUCACAGAAAGUCAUUUCUUAUUUCCUCCUGAUUUGAUGGUCCUUCCAGAACAGUAAAGUGGCAAGAGCGAUGAGAGCCAAGUUCUAGAGCUGGGCUGAUGAGGCUUCAGCUCCCAAAUCCAUCAUUCUGUGUCCUCAAGCAAGUAGCAUAAACUCCCCAAGCCUUAACUUUCCCAUCUGUAAUAUGGGAUUUCUUUUUUAUGACUGACCAAGAUAAUGCUACUUCUCUUCUCCAUUCAUUCUGUCUCCUUGAAUUCCUUUUUAUCUUUCUUAUGAUGCUAAUCCAGGUCCUUCUAGGACAGUGUCUGAAACAGGACUAGAAGGGACAUCUGGCAUGCUGCCCGCUCCCCUUCAUGGUAGACACUGCUGAUCAGUUUUGGUUAUUUCUUACUGAGGUCACAUGGGACUUCAGAAUCCUCCUCAAAAUGGUUAUCCAGGUAGCUACUACCCAUCACUUAGCCUAAGAAGAAGCUUAUUUGCUAUCUUUGGUCAGAGGCACAGUCUGCUCUUGUGUUGUUAUGUUGACUUAUUCAACUAUAUAACUAGAGAGAUAAUACCUAUUCUGCUUGUGGCCCACUAGGUUCCCUAAGUCCUUAAACUGCCAUGAUAAGGUCAACGGAUGCCAAAUUCAGUUCAUCUAGAAUUUUACCAACUCUGAGAAGGCUGGGAGAAUAUUCCCGAUUCCUACAGUCCUCAAAAUGGCUGCUUCAGGACUAGAAAGGAAGUAUAGUCAGGGUGAGAUAACAUAGUUUGCAAGGAGAAGGUCGGUCUUCUUGCAAGUCUGGUGGUGGGGCUGUCAUUCUGCAAGCUCACACCCACCCCGUGGAUUGGCAGGCGUGAGGAAGUGCCAGAUGGCCUACAUUCUGUUCAGGAGACCAGAGCAGCUAUGAUGUGUCAGACAAAUGGGAGGAGGGAAAUUGGGGUUGGGGGGGGUGGGCACAGGCUGGAGUAUUCUCCAUUCCCCUGGAUCAGGGAGGCCUGGGCAACCCAAAGCCUUGAGAAACCAGGACUAGUUGUUAUCUCCUGAAAUGUUCACUAAAGUAUCCCAUCUGUGCCCUGACAUUCGUGCCAGGCUCUGAUAUCCAAACUAGAUGCCUGGCCAGGCUCGUACCCCCCAGAGCAGAUGGUCUGAGACCUCCCAGUGUCUUCCAUCAGUGAUGGAGGAGCCAGGCGGUACCUAUGAUAUGCCAGGACAAGGGUAUUCUCUUUGCCUAACCCCCAGAUGUCACUCAGUCUGCCAGGUGAGCCGAGCUGAUUUAAGUAUGGCACAAGAAGAAGAGACUUUCUUAUCGCAAAGACUGGAGCCCCUGGAGCUGUACAUGGCUUAUGGAUCCUUUUCUAGGACUGUCCAAUAAGGGAGACAGCCCACAGCUCCCAGGGUGGGUACCUGUGGAACCCUGCGGGGAGGGGAAGUGCAGAGAUCUUUUGACUUGGGAAGUGACCAGCGCCGGCAGGCAUACUCUCUUGCCAGCAGCCAGGUGGGUGCUGGGCAAUGGAGCAGAGCUAAUGGGUACCUCCCUGUCACUGUCGAUUGCACUGAUUGUGUUAUCUGGGAGGACUGAGCACUUGGUUAAAUGGGAUUGAGAUAGCAUAUCAAGCUAGCAAAUUGAUUCCAAAAUCAGCUGCCACUUGGUUCCAAGGGUGCCACCCAUUGUCAAAGAAGGUAAGAUAAUCUCUGGGUGAUAAACCACUUUGGUGGGAGGGCAUCUCCAGAUUCCCUGGUUGACUGUCAAAGGCCUGGAGCACUGUCACAUACAUGGCUGUUAGGUUUCCAGGGCCAUAACUAAGAGGUCAGGGACGACUCUCUGACUGGCUGAGUUAGAGAUACAGGAACUAGCAGAAGGAGGUGUUGGGGGCCAGAUACCCAGGCUCACCAGACACCGGCUGUGUCAGGCUCUUCCCAGACCUAAUAUUAUUUAAUUGACACUGCAACUCUAGGAGAUAAAAAUAUUCCUGCUUUACAAAGGACCUGGGCCUGGAGGAGAGGUAAGAGGAGAACAUAUUCGAAAUCUUGCAGUGCUGAAGCAGACCUCAGCCUAUGUCCAUCUAGCUUCAAAGCCCCCAGUCUUCCCAGGCCAGGCUGCCUCAUGGCAGGAAGAGACUGGAGCUGGCCAGCAGUGAACACACCAGCCAGUUGAGGAAACUGUGGUUACGGUGAGAAGGGGCUCAGCCAAGGUUUCUGCAGAUUGGAAGUGGAGCUGGCAGGACAGCUCCUGACCUGUGGACUUGGGUUGAGGCUGGGCUGAACCAGACCCUCAAGAAAUGUCUUGAGGGGCUGGGGAUUUAGCUCAGUGGCAUAAGCGCCUGCCUUGCAAGCAGGCAGUCUUGAGUUCGAUCCCCGGUACUGAUAAAAAAGAAAAAGACAAAAAAAAAAAAAAAAAAAAAAAAGAAAAAAAGAAAAAAGAAAUGUCUUGGCUGGGACUCUGGGAACCUCCAUUCCAUGCCAAACCACAUCUGAACCUGGGACCCAAACUAAAGCUCCAACACUGACUGCUCUGUAGGCCCAGGCCAAAGUCACACAGACCUGGAAUUAAGUUUCAGCUCUGCCACUUGAAAUCACAGGAGUCUGGGCCUAGCACAUCUUUAGAGCCUUUGCUUCCUCUGACUGCUCUAAACAGCAGUGUCCUGGGAGGGGCUGGGGCAGAGCCCCACUGAGGGCAGCCCCUGUCAGGGCAACCAGGAAGUAGGCCUGUAGGAUAGGGAGGUGCUGGUCUCUAAGGAAAGGUCUGGCCUCUCUGGGGGACAAAUUCCCUAUGGAGUGACCAUGUGUGUGUGACCCUGAAGUGUGUCAUCUAUAAAUAAGGAUGACCCUGAUCAUAUAAGCAGUAACACCAAUUCCCUGCAUGCCUGUGCAGGCCAAAGCUCUUCCACAAAAUAGAUUCUCAUUAUUCCCACCUGCCCAGCCCACUGGUAGCCUAUCCAGAAAGGUGCUGCAGAGCAACUCUGGACAGGGUGUGGGAAACACUAUUUAGCACCCCUCCCUCCACCCUCCCAUCUAGGUGGAGGAUGCCCAGGAGCUUCCCUGAAACCCGGGUGCCUGGUGUGGCCCGCCACUGCCCUGGCUCUCCCCCCGCAUUAGCUCUUAAGCUAUGCAAAUAGACAUCGGAGGGAGCCCUGUUUAAAGUAUUUAGAGGAAAUGAAAAAAGGCUUUCAUCGGCACUAAUGAGCCAUUCAGGAUGCCUCCCCGGUGGAUUCUCUCCGGCUCCCGCCUCCCAGCCCUCGCCUCUCCCUUGUCGCCCCUCUUGGGAUUGGAGGCCCCGCCCCCAGCCCCACACUGGUCUGCUAGGGAUGGCUGCCUACCCGGCCCCUCCUCCCCAGGGCCCAGCUUAGUCAGGGUACCGACAGGUCUCUGUGUCUCAUCCUAGGUAGUUCUGAUCAGGAGGGGGUGAAAGCCCAGACUCUGCUUAAGGAAAGCAAAAGGCUGCAUCUUCUACCAUCAGCCAGGUAUUUGUUAUGCUAUUUUACAGAUGUAUAAAUCGAGGCUCAGAGAGACCUAGGACAUGCCUGUUGGGUCUAUGUCCCAGACAAUAUAGUACCACCCCAGGACUCCUAGGUCUCAGUGCUAUUGCUUCUGCAGGUGUUUCCUACCAGCCAGCCAGUUGGAAAGCCUAGGAUUCCAACUCCAAAUCUGUGCUUCACUGGCACAUGACCUGUCUCCUCGAGAAGCUACCCUGGGUUGGGGAGAGCUCCCACCUGCCAGAGCCACGCUAACCCAUCCCCACCUUUUCUCUGUCCAGCUUCUGACUCUCUGUGGGAGAGCCAUUCCUGCCUGACCUUCAUGUGACCACGGACUGAGAAAAUGGGACUGGGAUUGGGCAGGUGGAGGCGACAAAGAACCUUAGGACUUCUUCAUAUUUUUCACAAAAACCUCAGGAACACUAAGCCUGUCUGCCACUCACUCUCCAAGGAGGGUCGGGUCAGUGUCUCCCACCACUCAGAUUCUUUGCCUCCCAGCACUGACUGGGCACAGGUGUUAUCCAUGUUGGAUAUUUGAUGGGUAAUUUGGAAGCUCGAGCUGAGCCAGUAAGGAAGACCUGGACAUCAUGAGUGGAAGACCGCCAGGAACAUUUGGCCUCUUGUGAUCUGGCCUCAUGUGAUUUGGCCCAGGAUGGGGCUUUGGACAUGUGCUUGUUCUGUGGGAAUGCCUCCUGUGCUAUGUGGACUUGUGCCUCCCUCACGGCCCCAUCAGUGACAGAAGGCAGGAUAUCCGGUCCAGCCUCUGGCCAAGGCUCCUGGGGCAGUCCCAGAGCAGCUGUCUGGGCGGUUCACUUACAUUUACUGAGUGCCAGCUAUGGGUUAGACAUGUCCAUCCUCAAGAUCUGUCUUCUACACAGAAUGGUUGCCCUUUGCUUAGAAUUAAUAGUACAUGGGAGGAAACUGAGACUGAGAGGCAAAGUGAAUCAUCCCAGUUUAAUCAGAGGAAAUGUGGCAAAUAAAAAGUCUGAGCCAGGUCUGUCUGUGAUCCACAGCCUGUGAUCAAAAUUUCUUUUUCUUUUCUUUAAAAAAAUUCAAACUGGGAAUUGAACUCAGGGAGCACUGAACUACAGCCCGAGCCCUUUUAUAUUUUUAAUUUUGAGCCCAGACUUGGUUCAGAUUUUCAGUCUUCCUGCCUCUGCCUCCCAAGUGGCUGAGAUUACAAGUAUGAGCUCCCAUACCAGCUUGGAUGAAAAUUUCUACUGCAUUGCUUUCUGCUUGGGUGUGCAUGUGUGAGAAUGUGUCUGAAUGCAGGCAGACACAGGCAUGAGUCUGUGUGUAUGUGUGUGUAUAUACACGGAGGUACCUACAUGGGCUACAAAUCAUUACCAUUUGCCCUUGAUCAUACUCUGGAACCUGGAGCUCAGUAACACCCAAGCUCCCAGAAGAAGGGGUGUAUUUCCCACACUAACUAACGUGCUCCCUUCUUUUCACUCUGUCCUCUUCUUGCACCCUUAACCUGAGCCUUCUUAGGCCCAUCUGCCCUGGACAGCUCCUUAGCCUCUGAGGGGGUAGGACACUGCUCUGGGAUGUACCUGAGCCAGCCCUCUUCACCCUGUUGUCCCCUCCCUUCUAUGAGGCUGGGACCCAGGGGCCCAGGGUAGAGGGAGCUCCCAGCUAACUGCCACGUUCUCUGCUUUCCAAUUUAAAAUCUAAUACGGUCUUGCCACUGCAGAGCUGGGGCCUGGAGAGGUGAUUAAUGAGGUCUCUGCCACAGCAUCACCUGCUGCGCUCUGCACCUUCCCCUGCAGCCUUCUGUCCCCUCUCCU
Cavia porcellus (domestic guinea pig) is the source of this 12772-nucleotide long non-coding RNA. RefSeq lists it as uncharacterized. Lineage: Eukaryota; Metazoa; Chordata; Mammalia; Rodentia; Caviidae. The transcript is spliced from 5 exons. The record is from RefSeq and is a predicted model, not a curated record.